GCGCGCGGGCGCGGGGGCGGGGCGGCGCGGCGCGCGCGGCGCUUACUGUCCAGGGAACAAGCCCAGGAGCUCAAAUAUGCAAAGGAAACACUUCAUUGCUGAGCUACAUCCCUGGUACAACUUUUUCCUAUCUUUAAUUGGACUACUGGUUUUCUGCUGCCGGGUUUUGUGCUCCACUGCCUCCCGCCAUGCUGAGUCCCUGGCUAACACCAAGGUUCCAGGAGCCACGCAUCAGAGCCCAUGGAACAAAGCAGAGAGGACGGGAGGACGCCCCCAAGACCCAGCUGGAGUAUUGGGGGGAACACCCAGCAGUACUCCACUCUUGUGGUGCUCAGGGGACCACCUGGGGUGCAGGGAUCCAACCCAGGCUGCAGAGUUCCAGGGUGCCCAGGAGGAAAGUACAAAGACUC
Sorex araneus (European shrew) is the source of this 410-nucleotide long non-coding RNA. RefSeq lists it as uncharacterized. Lineage: Eukaryota; Metazoa; Chordata; Mammalia; Eulipotyphla; Soricidae. The record is from RefSeq and is a predicted model, not a curated record. The transcript is spliced from 4 exons.